GUAAGAUGUAAAACUCUCAGCUCCUUCUCCAGCACCCUGCCUCCCUGUGCACCACUGUGCUGCACCAUGAGAUAAUGCACUGAACCUCUGAAAAUGCUCUCAGGGAGGAAGGCACAGUGACAGCCAUAUGAGAAGCAGCCGGUCACCCCGAGUUGGCAGCCAGGAAGUGGAGAAAGGUGGAUUUCUCCCUCCUCAACUUGUCUGGCACCCAGUUUAAAGAAUGGUGCUACCUCUUGCAAGAUAGGUCUGCCUCCUCGGUCAAAUAUUCCUGAAAACUUUUGCGGAGACAGACCACAGGGUUUGUCUCCUAUGUGGUCCUAAAUCAUGUCAAGCUGACAAUCAGAGUACCAUCGCAGACUCUGUUGCUGAAUUCGGGAUCAAAAAUGUGACUCAGGAGAGUUGACAGAAGUCUGAAAAUCGAUGGAUUAUCCUUCAGGAUGCUCUCAGUAUCCUUUCAGGAAUCUGACCUUCAGGAAGCUCCAUGUUGAUCUACUGAGAAUAGCCUCGUGACCUAAGAUCUCACUCGACUCUGCCUGGUGCUGAAGGCAGCCUUUUCGAGGUUUCAGGGCAGCUACCCUGGAGAAAGAUGGCUGCAUGCUUCACUCCCUGACUCUGGAGAGAAGGCAUGUCACUGACUGGGCCUAGCCAGGAACCACAUACUUAACCCUUGACCACUUUCAGAAAACUCAGAUCUGUGCUCCUAAAGCAAUUACGAGCCAGGCAAUAGGAUUUACACAAUGGAUUUGUAACUGCAUGAAGCUGACCAGGAUCUACCCUACCAUGGUGAUCAAAUCCUUCCAGCCCCGUUCCUCUUACACAAUAGAAAGAUGAAGUCGAGGAAUUAGCAGCAAGCUCCAGUAGAGAUUUAGAUAGAUCAUUAAUUUUAAAUAAAGUGGCAGUUCUUACACUUUUUUUCUGUCACCAGCAUAACUGGAGUGUCUUUAUAAGGAGGAACAGGCUGUGCAGUGGUGGUACAGUGCAUUAAUCCCAAUACUCGGGAGACAGAGGCAGACAGAUCUCUGUGAGUUCGAGGCCAGUGAAUUUCAAGAG
Non-coding RNA from Myodes glareolus (Bank vole), 1050 nucleotides. The record is from RefSeq and is a predicted model, not a curated record. NCBI's taxonomy places the organism in Eukaryota, Metazoa, Chordata, Mammalia, Rodentia, Cricetidae.